Lactuca sativa (garden lettuce) is the source of this 866-nucleotide long non-coding RNA. RefSeq lists it as uncharacterized. NCBI's taxonomy places the organism in Eukaryota, Viridiplantae, Streptophyta, Magnoliopsida, Asterales, Asteraceae. The record is from RefSeq and is a predicted model, not a curated record.
UCCUUACCUUAGUCGUUUUAGGGUUUUUGAUGAAAGAAAAAAGAACACGCUGACACCAUAGCCUCUCUUCUUCUCGUCACUCUCCCCUCUCAAACCAAUCAUCGUUUUUUCAAUCGAUGCUUCGAUCACUCCCGUUACCGAUUAACCAGAAAUACGACAGUAGUCUUCAAUCGUUAUGUUCAAUCGACGCUUCAAUCAGUAGGCUCAAUUGAAGGCUCAAUCAGUGUUACGGAGACUUCGGAAAACUCUUCAAACCCUAUCAUUCUCCAGCUCUGCAUCCUUCAGUUUCCAAUCUAAAUCCCUCCACUCCCCCUCUCCCUCCGUCCCUCCACCUCCCGUCGGAAUGGCUUCAUCGUCAAAGCUAAAUCACUGCAUUCAGUGAUAGACAGGCAGAAUUUUACAAGAAAAACACAGAGAUAUUGAGUGUUUUAGUAGACAGUGUGUUGAUGUGCUAUUUUUGGGAUGAGCUCAAGCACAUACGACAUGCUAUUUGCAUUCCUGGUUACCCAACAAAAGCGAAAGAGGACACUGCAUGAAAUAAGUUAUGACCUCUGUCCUGUUUUUGCUACUAAAAUGGUCUAAGUUAAAGACUGAUGGAAUAUGCAUGCAGUAUACUGUUCUCGACAGAUGAGCUGACAAGUUCAAUGGAUCCAAUUCAAGGCUAUGUUGUUUUUGCUGUGUUGCGUUUUCCUAUUGUUGUUUUAUGUUUAUUGUUUGUAAUUUUUCAUUUUUAUCAUCUCUACUUGUUAAAUUUCACUUGAUUGGAAAUGUUUUCUAUGAUGUUUUUUAAUUGUGGGAAGUGUUUUUAAAUUUUAAUAGGUGGCCUAUGUAAGUUUUUAUAAUUGUUUUAUUAUCAUAUUCUUAUA